GUUAGACAGACUUUGGUUGACCUCCUGGCCCUGCCACCUCCUGGCUAGGCAGCCUCAGGCGAGUCACUCAACAGCCUCAGCAAGCUGUUAAAGGGAUCUGAAAAACAAGCCUUAAAGAUGACAGCCACCUGCCAGCGUUCUUGGGAAGAGCAAAUGAGAUGAUGAUGACGAUGGUGGUGAUGAUGAUGAUGAUGCAGCCAGAAGACGGCCGUCUAUGGACCAGGAAGUGGUCCUCCCCAGACACCGAAUCUGCCAGCAUCUUGAUCUUGGACUUCCAGCCUCCAGAACCGUGAGAAAUAAACGUCAAGUCACUCAGUCUGUGGUAUUUCAUAUGGAGCCUGAACGAACUAAGACGCAUUGUAUAUAUAUACUACAUGUAUAUAAAAUAACCCAUACAAAUAUGUAACUACUGAAUCAUAUGGAAUUUUUAGUCUAUUCAGCUUUUUUUGUGUAUUAGUUUAUGAAGGCUUGUUCAUGUCCUUAAAUAUUCUUUGGAAACUUGAUUUUAAUGGCUAUAUAAUAUUCGUACAUGUGAAUAUACCAGACCUUGUUUCG
RNAcentral lists this long non-coding RNA (555 nucleotides) under Equus caballus (horse). RNAcentral's name for it is "lncRNA (ENSECAG00000060326.1)". Lineage: Eukaryota; Metazoa; Chordata; Mammalia; Perissodactyla; Equidae. The record is from RNAcentral.